UGAGAUGCAGCUCAGUGGUGGAGCAUCUGCCUAGCACGCAUGCACAAAGCCCUGGGUUCAAUCCCUAGCACCACAC
This 76-nucleotide transfer RNA is filed under the name Ictidomys tridecemlineatus (thirteen-lined ground squirrel). RNAcentral describes it as "Spermophilus tridecemlineatus (thirteen-lined ground squirrel) tRNA". It matches the Rfam family "tRNA". Rfam says of the family: Transfer RNA (tRNA) molecules are approximately 80 nucleotides in length. Their secondary structure includes four short double-helical elements and three loops (D, anti-codon, and T loops). The record is from Rfam by way of RNAcentral. Lineage: Eukaryota; Metazoa; Chordata; Mammalia; Rodentia; Sciuridae.